This 442-nucleotide ribosomal RNA is filed under the name uncultured bacterium. RNAcentral's name for it is "partial 16S ribosomal RNA". It matches the Rfam family "Bacterial small subunit ribosomal RNA", at positions 338 to 795 of the family's 1533-position model. The record is from RNAcentral.
CCUACGGGUGGCAGCAGUGGGGGAUAUUGCACAAUGGGGGCAACCCUGAUGCAGCGAAGCAGCGUGGGGGAAGAAGUCUCUAGGUAUGUAAAGCUCUAUUAGCAGGGAAGUAGAAAUGACGGUACGUGAGUAAGAAGCACCGGCUAAAUAAGUGCCAGCAGCCGCGGUAAUACGGAUGGUGCAAGCGUUAUCCGGAUUUACUGGGUGUAAAGGGAGCGCAGGGGGCACGGCAAGCCUGUUGUGAAAGGUAGCGGCCCAACCGUGGUACUGCAAUUGGUACUGCCAGCCUUGAGUGCCGUGGAGGUAGGCGGAAUUCCUAGUGUAGCGGUGAAAUGCGUAGAUAUUAGGAGGAACUCCAAUUGCGAAGGCAGCCUACUAAACUGUCACUGACACUGAGGCUCGAAAGCGUGGGGAUCAAACAGGAUUAGAUACCCUGGUAGUC